GUGCCCAGGUGGCCAAGAAGCCACCAGCAUCCUGGCCUGUAUCAGCACCAGUGUGGCAGCAGGGCCAGGGCAGUGACUGUGCCCCUGCACUGGGCACUGGUGAGGCUGCACCUCGAAUCCUGUGUUCAGUUCUGGGCCCCUCACUACAAGAGAAACACUGAGGUGCUGAAGUGGGGCCAGAGGAGAUCAAAGAAGCUGAUGAAGUGUCUGGAGCACAAGCCUUAUGAGGAGCAGCUGAGGGACCUGGGGGUGUAUAGUCUGGAGAAAAGGAGGCUGAGGAAAGACCUUAUUGCUCUCUAUAAUUGCCUGAAAGGAGGAUGUUGCAACAGGACAAGAGGAAAGGGCCUCAAGUUGUGCCAGGGGAGGUUUAAAUUAGAUAUCAGGAAAAAUUUCUUCACUAAAGGGGUUAUGAAGCUCUGGAACAGGCUGCCCAGGGCAGUGGCUGAGUCACCAUCACUGGAGGCAUUUAAAAGACGUGUGCAUGUAGCACUUGGGGACAUGGCUAAGUGGUGGGCUUGACAGUGGUUGGUUUAUAGUUGGACCCAACGAUCUUAAGGGUCUUUUCCACCCUAAAUGAUUCUAUGAUCCUGUGUUCCCCUUCCUCUGCUGUACGGCUGUGUCUACACUAGAGAGCCUGCAAGGAACCCAGACUGAUCUUUGACCACUGCAAGCCAGAAGCUGGGCUAACAGCUGAGAGGAGACCUCUUUCACACCAUUCUCCAGAGGUCAGGUCCGUGCUCCAAGGCUCAGCCCAAACCCUCUCCUACUUCUUUUCACCAUUCCCAAUUAGAGAGGAACCCAGAUCAGCUUUCUCUGUGAGCCACGGCUUGCCCCUCACUCAGGCAGUGCUACUGCCACAGGCCAAGGGAGCUGCCCUACUUGCCCACGUGCUGGGGUCCUUUUCCCGUCCCCACUGGGCUGACUGCUGUAAGAAGCAUUAUUGAGUACUGUGUGAUGGUUAUUUAUUUGGAGUUGGGGUCUUUUGAAUUAUUCUUUUUUCACUUCCAGGUGAAUGGUAAAAUAAUUCCUGCUUCUCUUCACACCCCAAGGUUCCCCUCAUCCUCCCAGUCUAGACCUAAUCAAUCAGACUGCCUUAACUGGUGCUUCACUGCAGUCAGCCACCUUCCAAAAUGCAAGGUUACACAUUUCAUCACCCUUACCCUGCACUUCACACACGCACAGGGAGAGCAGGUUCUCCUGGGGUCCUGGCACCAAUCCCCAUCGCACCCACCUCUGGCUGGAAAGGGAGACGGUGGCAUCAGCCUCCCAGGAGGAGUGAGGCGGGUUGUGAACACCAGCCAGCUUGCCCCAGCGCUUGGGGAUGAUCGGGGAUCUCUGCAGGAUCAGUCGCUUCCCAUCCCUAUGAUUUCUUUAUAAAUAUGCACAUCCGAAAUCUCUCGUUCUUCCAUAGGAGUUACGGAAAUGCACAAUGUGCUUCUAACAUGCGCAUCCUCUAGCGAGUGCAAUAACCUCCCCUGGCCCACGGCUGUCCCGGACUUUGGCCAUUGCUGUCGGCAAGGCAGAGAGGAUCCUGCUGUGGGGACAGCCUCCUGCUUUCAACAACCAUGUAGCAAAUACACAGUGGAAGAGCCAGGUUGGAAUUUCAGUCUGUGGUGGGCAAAGCCUGUUAUAAUGCUGAAGGCUGACAGGGAGCUGUGUUUUUCUUUUCCCCAGGAAUUAUCUAUUAUGAAGCUCUGAGUUUCUUCAAGCUCCCUGUUAUGCCCAUAUCAUUCCUCCAGACAUCUCUCAGUCUAAUACAGAGGAAAAUUUUUUUAUUGUCUGUAUAUAGUAUAUAUAAAUUUAAAAAAUUAUAUAAAUUAUAUAUAUAUACACAAAUUUAUGUCUUGUUUUACAAACAAGAAAGAUUAAAUAUAUUAAUCUUAAUAUCCAAA
Molecule: long non-coding RNA, 1892 nt
Organism: Pezoporus flaviventris
Lineage: Eukaryota; Metazoa; Chordata; Aves; Psittaciformes; Psittacidae
Exons: 2
Source: RefSeq, a predicted model, not a curated record